CUAAGCCUACGGGGGGCAGCAGUGGGGAAUAUUGCACAAUGGGGGGAACCCUGAUGCAGCGACGCCGCGUGAGUGAAGAAGUAUUUCGGUAUGUAAAGCUCUAUCAGCAGGGAAGAUAAUGACGGUACCUGACUAAGAAGCUCCGGCUAACUACGUGCCAGCAGCCGCGGUAAUACGUAGGGGGCAAGCGUUAUCCGGAUUUACUGGGUGUAAAGGGUGCGUAGGUGGCAGGGCAAGUCAGAUGUGAAAGCCCGGGGCCCAACCCCGGUACUGCAUUUGACACUGUCCGGCUGGAGUGCAGGAGG
RNAcentral lists this ribosomal RNA (305 nucleotides) under uncultured bacterium. Its description in RNAcentral is "bacterial SSU rRNA". It matches the Rfam family "Bacterial small subunit ribosomal RNA", at positions 333 to 655 of the family's 1533-position model. The record is from RNAcentral.